GACCUCCACACCCCAGUGAACACACACGCAUUGCGGCUUCGUGAUUGGCCGCUACAGUAAGGUGUAUUUUAAUGGCCCUGCCAACUGCUACAACUGUUGCUAAAGCUAAUUUAGCAUUUUAUAAUCAAGUUCAUCUGCAAACAGCGGCAUCUGGACGACUUUAUGGAGUGACUAACUUGGUUUUGCGGCACUCAUGGGGGCUGUAGCGACUCCUUUCGGCGGCAGUUAAUAGCCGUUGGCACUUUAACCUGAAAGUAGUUUACCUGUCCUUCUGUGGGAGCUUUGGACCACAACAAGAUGCACCGGAGACUAUCAGAGCUUCACUUCAUACAGAACGCUGUUGAAAGUUGCUGGGGCAUUGCUGAACUCUAUUUCCCUCCUGCUACGGCAGAAGUUUAGAGGCUCUCAUUAAUAAGAGAGGACUGUAAGGAAACCAGCAUGAAGAGCAGGGCGGCCUCCCUCUGAUUCCCACUGCCUAAUCUGAGAGAUAAAGGUCACUGCUGAGCCACAGCCAGCCCAGCUCAGGGGGAGAGGGGUCGUCCACUUAUCAGAAGAUGUCAAGGUGUUUACCAAAGAGAAGGAGAGGAGAGUCGAGUGGCACCGCUGUUUGUUUGGA
This is a long non-coding RNA of Micropterus dolomieu (smallmouth bass), 616 nucleotides long. RefSeq lists it as uncharacterized. NCBI's taxonomy places the organism in Eukaryota, Metazoa, Chordata, Actinopteri, Centrarchiformes, Centrarchidae. The record is from RefSeq and is a predicted model, not a curated record. The transcript is spliced from 4 exons.